RNAcentral lists this ribosomal RNA (325 nucleotides) under Proteus mirabilis. Its description in RNAcentral is "partial 23S ribosomal RNA". It matches the Rfam family "Bacterial large subunit ribosomal RNA", at positions 455 to 782 of the family's 2925-position model. The record is from RNAcentral. RNAcentral also lists the same sequence under 1 other name. Lineage: Bacteria; Pseudomonadati; Pseudomonadota; Gammaproteobacteria; Enterobacterales; Morganellaceae.
AUCCUCCAAGGCUAAAUACUCCUGAUUGACCGAUAGUGAACCAGUACCGUGAGGGAAAGGCGAAAAGAACCCCGGCGAGGGGAGUGAAAAAGAACCUGAAACCGUGUACGUACAAGCAGUAGGAGCCUCUUUAUGGGGUGACUGCGUACCUUUUGUAUAAUGGGUCAGCGACUUAUAUUCUGUAGCAAGGUUAACCGUAUAGGGGAGCCGUAGGGAAACCGAGUCUUAACUGGGCGAAUGAGUUGCAGGGUAUAGACCCGAAACCCGGUGAUCUAUCCAUGGGCAGGUUGAAGGUUGGGUAACACUAACUGGAGGACCGAACCGA